UGGGCGGACGGGUGAGUAACGCGUGGGUAACCUGCCUUGUACUGGGGGACAACAGUUAGAAAUGACUGCUAAUACCGCAUAAGCGCACAGUAUCGCAUGAUACGGUGUGAAAAACUCCGGUGGUACAAGAUGGACCCGCGUCUGAUUAGCUAGUUGGUAAGGUAACGGCUUACCAAGGCGACGAUCAGUAGCCGACCUGAGAGGGUGACCGGCCACAUUGGGACUGAGACACGGCCCAA
RNAcentral lists this ribosomal RNA (239 nucleotides) under uncultured bacterium. RNAcentral describes it as "partial 16S ribosomal RNA". It matches the Rfam family "Bacterial small subunit ribosomal RNA", at positions 95 to 334 of the family's 1533-position model. The record is from RNAcentral.